This 461-nucleotide ribosomal RNA is filed under the name Shigella sonnei. RNAcentral describes it as "partial 23S ribosomal RNA". It matches the Rfam family "Bacterial large subunit ribosomal RNA", at positions 2172 to 2632 of the family's 2925-position model. The record is from RNAcentral. Lineage: Bacteria; Pseudomonadati; Pseudomonadota; Gammaproteobacteria; Enterobacterales; Enterobacteriaceae.
CAGUCUGCAUGGAGCCGGCCUUGAAAUACCACCCUUUAAUGUUUGAUGUUCUAACGUGGACCCGUGAUCCGGGUUGCGGACAGUGUCUGGUGGGUAGUUUGACUGGGGCGGUCUCCUCCUAAAGAGUAACGGAGGAGCACGAAGGUUGGCUAAUCCUGGUCGGACAUCAGGAGGUUAGUGCAAUGGCAUAAGCCAGCUUGACUGCGAGCGUGACGGCGCGAGCAGGUGCGAAAGCAGGUCAUAGUGAUCCGGUGGUUCUGAAUGGAAGGGCCAUCGCUCAACGGAUAAAAGGUACUCCGGGGAUAACAGGCUGAUACCGCCCAAGAGUUCAUAUCGACGGCGGUGUUUGGCACCUCGAUGUCGGCUCAUCACAUCCUGGGGCUGAAGUAGGUCCCAAGGGUAUGGCUGUUCGCCAUUUAAAGUGGUACGCGAGCUGGGUUUAGAACGUCGUGAGACAGUUC